CCGAGUGCGGACCCUCUGGGUCCAACCUCCCACCCGUGUCUACCGUACCUCGUUGCUUCGGUGGGCCCGCCGUCAUGGCCGCCGGGGGGCGUCUCGCCCCCAAGCCCGUGCCCGCCGAAGACCCCCCUCUGUGAACGCUGUCUGAAUGUUGCAGUCUGAGUCGGUCAGCUAAAUCGGUUA
RNAcentral lists this unclassified non-coding RNA (180 nucleotides) under uncultured Trichocomaceae. RNAcentral's name for it is "sequence contains ITS1". Lineage: Eukaryota; Fungi; Ascomycota; Eurotiomycetes; Eurotiales; Trichocomaceae. The record is from RNAcentral.